Molecule: long non-coding RNA, 1228 nt
Organism: Neopsephotus bourkii (Bourke's parrot)
Lineage: Eukaryota; Metazoa; Chordata; Aves; Psittaciformes; Psittacidae
Exons: 3
Source: RefSeq, a predicted model, not a curated record
UAUUUUCUGAUAUACACAGGAAAUUAAUCAGAGACUUGUCCUACAGAACAGAAUGAAAUGAGAAGAAAAGAGGAAAGAGUUCAGGUAUAAGAUAAAGCCAAGCCAUUAUGAUAUUGAUAAGCAAGACUAAACACUGUUGUUCAGUCAUCCCCACGUAAACACCAUUGCCUUUGUCAUACACAAUAAAAGAGUUCAAAAAAAGGUUAACCAGCAUAAAGAAACCUUUUGGGUCAUACAUCGUUCUUUCCCUUGGAAGAAACUGACAAGACAGAAAAUCAUUUCUGGGCAUCAGGGAUGAAACUAACUCUCCUUAUUUAGAUACAACAGGACUUUAGUCAAGAACAGAGAUUCUUACAGUCUAAAUUGUAAGUCUGCUGAGGCACUACAUUCUUUAUCAAACCUAUAAACUGCAGUGCAUGCAAAAUAGAAAGCAGUAAAAUUAUUAGCCCAUCAGUACUUUCUGUCGUCAGAAGUGGUAGUUACACCAAUAUACCAGAUUGAUGCGAGCAAUAUCAGAAAUUAGAGUGUUUUAUUUAAUACUUAAAUACACAUAUAAUUAAUUCUUCUCUGAAUAUUUUCACAUUUAGACACUGGUUAAGAAACAUACUGUUUGACUAACUGUGAAGGAAAAAGCACUACUUGUAAUGACACAGCCUCUCCCACUGGGGCCACUAUAAAGACACAUAGAAACCAUCAGGUGUACUAAAGUGAGGAUGAAGCCUUGAAAUGGAUCUGCUAUUUAGGUCCCUCUGUGCCUCUAUCCCUACCCAUGCUUAUCUAUUCAAGGUAAAUUAGUCUCUCCAUCAUCCAUGAUGAGAAAAAAGUUGGAAUCUAUGGAAAGCACACACUUUUUAUAUACCUUUUAGCUCCACAUUUUCAGAACUCCCUUACACACCUAAUCCUAUAGCCAUUAGUAAGGCAAUAAAAUGACAUAAAAUGAGCAAACAGCAAUAAAGCAAUCAUAUCCCAGCAUGUUUAUUUAGUCGUGGUCCUUAAUGACAGAGACCUUCGUACCCACUGAUACUUGGAGCUGCUACUAAUUCUCCUGUCUCAAAUCCCUGGUUGUCAUUGCUCUCAGACUUCUGGCCAAUGUUUUAAAGCCUGCUUCACACAAACUGUGAAGUAAAAAAACCUCACAGAAAGAAAGAUUUACUUUAUAAAUUCAGCCAAAAUUAAUUUUCUUUUAGAGCAACAUUGGAAGAGUUGAAUAAGGGAGGCAGAAUGGCAG